This is a long non-coding RNA of Drosophila biarmipes, 924 nucleotides long. RefSeq lists it as uncharacterized. The transcript has 11 exons. The record is from RefSeq and is a predicted model, not a curated record. Lineage: Eukaryota; Metazoa; Arthropoda; Insecta; Diptera; Drosophilidae.
AUUAUUCUCUUUCUGCGAUUGCUCUUUUAAUAUUAGUUUCUCUUUAUUUGUGUUCACUCUCUGGCUCUAAAAUCUUCUUUCCCGCUUCUCCGAUUGAGUGGUGCUCAUUAAGAUCGGAGUGUUCAAUGAGGGCGGAUGUCGCGGACGCAAUGUUCUUUAGAAAAAGGCAAACGACUCUCAAGAGGAGUAGAACAGAAACACCAGGAUCAAAAUUAAAUUGAGGUAAACGAGUCACACGAGGAGUAAGACACUAACACAAGGAUCAAAAUAAAAUUCAGGUAAACGAGUCACACGAGGAGUAAGACACUAACACAAGGAUCAAAAUAAAAUUCAGUGGUGCUCAUUAAGAUCGGAGUGUUCAAUGAGGGCGGAUGUCGCGGACGCAAUGUUCUUUAGAAAAAGGCAAACGACUCUCAAGAGGAGUAGAACAGAAACACCAGGAUCAAAAUUAAAUUGAGGUAAACGAGUCACACGAGGAGUAAGACACUAACACAAGGAUCAAAAUAAAAUUCAGUGGUGCUCAUUAAGAUCGGAGUGUUCAAUGAGGGCGGAUGUCGCGGACGCAAUGUUCUUUAGAAAAAGGCAAACGACUCUCAAGAGGAGUAGAACAGAAACACCAGGAUCAAAAUUAAAUUGAGGUAAACGAGUCACACGAGGAGUAAGACACUAACACAAGGAUCAAAAUAAAAUUCAGGUAAACGAGUCACACGAGGAGUAAAACACAAACACAAGGAUCAAAACAAAAUUCAGGUGAGUGAACGAACGUGUUCAAAGUAGUUAAUAGUGCAUGUCUAUUUAAGUGUAAGAAACAAAAAAGACACAAACGGGCCAAUAAUUCGUUUCUUUAAUAGAUAAAUGCCUACAUUAUGUUCAAACUUUGCUAAAAAGACCCAAUUGGAAAAACAUAAAGUGUAUACCUAUACA